Molecule: ribosomal RNA, 1506 nt
Filed under: metagenome
Description: bacterial SSU rRNA
Rfam family: Bacterial small subunit ribosomal RNA
Source: RNAcentral
AGAGUUUGAUCAUGGCUCAGGACGAACGCUGGCGGCGUGCCUAAUACAUGCAAGUAGAACGCUGAAGAGAGGAGCUUGCUCUUCUUGGAUGAGUUGCGAACGGGUGAGUAACGCGUAGGUAACCUGCCUUGUAGCGGGGGAUAACUAUUGGAAACGAUAGCUAAUACCGCAUAACAAUGGAUGACCCAUGUCAUUUAUUUGAAAGGGGCAAAUGCUCCACUACAAGAUGGACCUGCGUUGUAUUAGCUAGUAGGUGAGGUAACGGCUCACCUAGGCGACGAUACAUAGCCGACCUGAGAGGGUGAUCGGCCACACUGGGACUGAGACACGGCCCAGACUCCUACGGGAGGCAGCAGUAGGGAAUCUUCGGCAAUGGGGGCAACCCUGACCGAGCAACGCCGCGUGAGUGAAGAAGGUUUUCGGAUCGUAAAGCUCUGUUGUAAGUCAAGAACGAGUGUGAGAGUGGAAAGUUCACACUGUGACGGUAGCUUACCAGAAAGGGACGGCUAACUACGUGCCAGCAGCCGCGGUAAUACGUAGGUCCCGAGCGUUGUCCGGAUUUAUUGGGCGUAAAGCGAGCGCAGGCGGUUUGAUAAGUCUGAAGUUAAAGGCUGUGGCUCAACCAUAGUUCGCUUUGGAAACUGUCAAACUUGAGUGCAGAAGGGGAGAGUGGAAUUCCAUGUGUAGCGGUGAAAUGCGUAGAUAUAUGGAGGAACACCGGUGGCGAAAGCGGCUCUCUGGUCUGUAACUGACGCUGAGGCUCGAAAGCGUGGGGAGCGAACAGGAUUAGAUACCCUGGUAGUCCACGCCGUAAACGAUGAGUGCUAGGUGUUGGAUCCUUUCCGGGAUUCAGUGCCGCAGCUAACGCAUUAAGCACUCCGCCUGGGGAGUACGACCGCAAGGUUGAAACUCAAAGGAAUUGACGGGGGCCCGCACAAGCGGUGGAGCAUGUGGUUUAAUUCGAAGCAACGCGAAGAACCUUACCAGGUCUUGACAUCCCGAUACUAUUUCUAGAGAUAGAAAGUUACUUCGGUACAUCGGUGACAGGUGGUGCAUGGUUGUCGUCAGCUCGUGUCGUGAGAUGUUGGGUUAAGUCCCGCAACGAGCGCAACCCCUAUUGUUAGUUGCCAUCAUUCAGUUGGGCACUCUAGCGAGACUGCCGGUAAUAAACCGGAGGAAGGUGGGGAUGACGUCAAAUCAUCAUGCCCCUUAUGACCUGGGCUACACACGUGCCACAAUGGUUGGUACAACGAGUUGCGAGUCGGUGACGGCAAGCUAAUCUCUUAAAGCCAAUCUCAGUUCGGAUUGUAGGCUGCAACUCGCCUACAUGAAGUCGGAAUCGCUAGUAAUCGCGGAUCAGCACGCUGCGGUGAAUACGUUCCCGGGCCUUGUACACACCGCCCGUCACACCACGGGAGUUUGUAACACCCGAAGUCGGUGAGGUAACCUUUUGGAGCCAGCCGCCUAAGGUGGGAUAGAUGAUUGGGGUGAAGUCGUAACAAGGUA